Molecule: ribosomal RNA, 253 nt
Filed under: uncultured bacterium
Lineage: Bacteria
Description: partial 16S ribosomal RNA
Rfam family: Bacterial small subunit ribosomal RNA
Source: RNAcentral
UACGUAGGGGGCAAGCGUUGUCCGGAAUUAUUGGGCGUAAAGAGCGUGUAGGCGGCCAGAUAAGUCCGCUGUGAAAUCUCGAGGCUCAACCUCGAGAUGUCGGCGGAAACCGUCUGGCUAGAGUCCGGAAGAGGAGAGUGGAAUUCCUGGUGUAGCGGUGAAAUGCGCAGAUAUCAGGAAGAACACCUAUGGCGAAGGCAGCUCUCUGGGACGGUACUGACGCUGAGACGCGAAAGCGUGGGGAGCGAACAGG